This 677-nucleotide ribosomal RNA is filed under the name uncultured bacterium. RNAcentral describes it as "bacterial SSU rRNA". It matches the Rfam family "Bacterial small subunit ribosomal RNA", at positions 102 to 797 of the family's 1533-position model. The record is from RNAcentral.
ACGGGUGAGUAAUACAUCGGAACGUGCCCAGGCGUGGGGGAUAGCCCGGCGAAAGCCGGAUUAAUACCGCAUGAGAUCUGAGGAUGAAAGCAGGGGACCUUCGGGCCUUGCGCGUUUGGAGCGGCCGAUGGCAGAUUAGGUAGUUGGUGAGGUAAAGGCUUACCAAGCCUGCGAUCUGUAGCUGGUCUGAGAGGAUGAUCAGCCACACUGGGACUGAGACACGGCCCAGACUCCUACGGGAGGCAGCAGUGGGGAAUAUUGGACAAUGGGGGCAACCCUGAUCCAGCAAUUCUGUGUGCACGAAGAAGGUUUUCGGAUUGUAAAGUGCUUUCAGCAGGGAAGAAGGAAGUGACGGUACCUGCAGAAGAAGCGACGGCUAAAUACGUGCCAGCAGCCGCGGUAAUACGUAUGUCGCGAGCGUUAUCCGGAAUUAUUGGGCAUAAAGGGCAUCUAGGCGGCCUAACAAGUCAGGGGUGAAAACCUGCGGCUCAACCGCAGGCCUGCCUUUGAAACUGUAAGGCUGGAGUACCGGAGAGGUGGACGGAACUGCACGAGUAGAGGUGAAAUUCGUAGAUAUGUGCAGGAAUGCCGAUGAUGAAGAUAGUCCACUGGACGGAAACUGACGCUGAAGUGCGAAAGCCGGGGGAGCGAACAGGAUUAGAUACCCUGGUAGUCCC